GACGAACGCUGGCGGCGUGCCUAAUACAUGCAAGUUGAGCGCUGAAGGUUGGUACUUGUACCAACUGGAUGAGCAGCGAACGGGUGAGUAACGCGUGGGGAAUCUGCCUUUGAGCGGGGGACAACAUUUGGAAACGAAUGCUAAUACCGCAUAAAAACUUUAAACACAAGUUUUAAGUUUGAAAGAUGCAAUUGCAUCACUCAAAGAUGAUCCCGCGUUGUAUUAGCUAGUUGGUGAGGUAAAGGCUCACCAAGGCGAUGAUACAUAGCCGACCUGAGGGGGUGGUCGGCCACAUUGGGACUGAGACACGGCCCAAACUCCUACGGGAGGCAGCAGUAGGGAAUCUUCGGCAAUGGACGAAAGUCUGACCGAGCAACGCCGCGUGAGGGAAGAAGGUUUUCGGAUCGUAAAACUCUGUUGGUAGAGAAGAACGUUGGUGAGAGUGGAAAGCGCAUCAAGUGACGGUAACUACCCAGAAAGGGACGGCUAACUACGUG
Molecule: ribosomal RNA, 497 nt
Filed under: uncultured bacterium
Lineage: Bacteria
Description: partial 16S ribosomal RNA
Rfam family: Bacterial small subunit ribosomal RNA
Source: RNAcentral